This 252-nucleotide ribosomal RNA is filed under the name uncultured bacterium. Its description in RNAcentral is "partial 16S ribosomal RNA". It matches the Rfam family "Bacterial small subunit ribosomal RNA", at positions 525 to 776 of the family's 1533-position model. The record is from RNAcentral.
ACGGAGGGUGCAAACGUUGCUCGGAAUUAUUGGGCGUAAAGCGCGCGUAGGCGGCUUGGCAAGUUGGAUGUGAAAGCCCCGGGCUCAACCUGGGAAGUGCAUCCAAAACUGCCUGGCUUGAAUCUCGGAGGGGGCCAGAGAAUUCCCGGUGUAGAGGUGAAAUUCGUAGAUAUCGGGAGGAAUACCAGUGGCGAAGGCGCUGGCCUGGACGAUGAUUGACGCUGAGGUGCGAAAGCGUGGGGAGCAAACAGG